This 1036-nucleotide long non-coding RNA is filed under the name Homo sapiens (human). RNAcentral describes it as "non-protein coding LINC01869:27". Lineage: Eukaryota; Metazoa; Chordata; Mammalia; Primates; Hominidae. The record is from RNAcentral.
UAGAGAUGUGCAGUUUGCCAGAAACAAAGCAGAUGAGGUCUUGGCCUAUUUGGCUAAAACAAUUUUGCACUGUUGAAAAGUAGACAAAGUAGAAAAAGGGCUAAAAGGAGGAGAUGUAGCAUCUCGGAAACAGUUCUCAUCCAUAUGAGCAAGGGCUUCAUGUUACUGGCCGUGGCCCUGUGCUGAGUCCUCCUCCCGCCCAUGGCCCUCUCCUCCUGGCCAGUGGUCCUCCGCCUGAACAUGGCCGACUUUGUCUUCAGUUUCCUCUGCCUCGGCAUUGGGCUCCUGAUUUCUCUUCAGCCUGACGCUCUUUUCAGUUAACGGCAAGGCGGUGCACCCAAGUCCGGUGGUGUCCUACCUGGUGACCUCCUACCUGUGCUGGGACGCCAGCGACUUGAUGCUGCACUCCGCAGGGCGCAGCGAGGCGGACAUCCAAACAGCGGAACUCAGACGCUGACUCCGAGCGCACCCCGGGCCUUCCCAUUUCAUACACCCUCGAGGAUGAGACCCAAGCACCUCCAAGGAAUAGCACCCGAGGUCUUCAGGACACCGACCGGUAGCCAUGGCCAGAUGCCCGGCCAACCCCUUCAGCGUGGCCACGCCCUGGAUAUUCGACCUCCCCUGAGGCCCCACCCCCUGAUAUCAGGCCACGCCCUCCGAGGGGACCGGUGGCAAACUCCAGCCCUCGCUCUAGGGCCCGCCCUUUGCGGCUUUGUCCCUGCCCACUGGGUCCUCACAGUACCUCCACCCCAGAGGCCCAGCAUCCCCUCCCGUUCUGCAGACACUUGUCCAGCGUCCCGCUGAGCUCGGCAGUGUGGCUAGUUUGUGUGGCCCUGCCCCUGGUGCCCAGCCAGGGUGGUCUGCAUGGAACUUCUUUCCCGGAGUUCCGGCCUCAGCUCCGAUGUCCACCCUUGUCCCCAGGUGGACACAGCACCGCCCAGCAUUUGGUGCAACUCCACCCUUCUGCAGAACGGGCCCCUCCCUGGGAAGGCAUGGCUUGCAAUAACAUCCCUCUGUACCUUUUCUGGCUUCCCCG